Molecule: ribosomal RNA, 2140 nt
Filed under: Escherichia coli
Lineage: Bacteria; Pseudomonadati; Pseudomonadota; Gammaproteobacteria; Enterobacterales; Enterobacteriaceae
Description: partial 23S ribosomal RNA
Rfam family: Bacterial large subunit ribosomal RNA
Source: RNAcentral
GGGUUGUGAGGUUAAGCGACUAAGCGUACACGGUGGAUGCCCUGGCAGUCAGAGGCGAUGAAGGACGUGCUAAUCUGCGAUAAGCGUCGGUAAGGUGAUAUGAACCGUUAUAACCGGCGAUUUCCGAAUGGGGAAACCCAGUGUGAUUCGUCACACUAUCAUUAACUGAAUCCAUAGGUUAAUGAGGCGAACCGGGGGAACUGAAACAUCUAAGUACCCCGAGGAAAAGAAAUCAACCGAGAUUCCCCCAGUAGCGGCGAGCGAACGGGGAGCAGCCCAGAGCCUGAAUCAGUGUGUGUGUUAGUGGAAGCGUCUGGAAAGGCGCGCGAUACAGGGUGACAGCCCCGUACACAAAAAUGCACAUGCUGUGAGCUCGAUGAGUAGGGCGGGACACGUGGUAUCCUGUCUGAAUAUGGGGGGACCAUCCUCCAAGGCUAAAUACUCCUGACUGACCGAUAGUGAACCAGUACCGUGAGGGAAAGGCGAAAAGAACCCCGGCGAGGGGAGUGAAAAAGAACCUGAAACCGUGUACGUACAAGCAGUGGGAGCACGCUUAGGCGUGUGACUGCGUACCUUUUGUAUAAUGGGUCAGCGACUUAUAUUCUGUAGCAAGGUUAACCGAAUAGGGGAGCCGAAGGGAAACCGAGUCUUAACUGGGCGUUAAGUUGCAGGGUAUAGACCCGAAACCCGGUGAUCUAGCCAUGGGCAGGUUGAAGGUUGGGUAACACUAACUGGAGGACCGAACCGACUAAUGUUGAAAAAUUAGCGGAUGACUUGUGGCUGGGGGUGAAAGGCCAAUCAAACCGGGAGAUAGCUGGUUCUCCCCGAAAGCUAUUUAGGUAGCGCCUCGUGAAUUCAUCUCCGGGGGUAGAGCACUGUUUCGGCAAGGGGGUCAUCCCGACUUACCAACCCGAUGCAAACUGCGAAUACCGGAGAAUGUUAUCACGGGAGACACACGGCGGGUGCUAACGUCCGUCGUGAAGAGGGAAACAACCCAGACCGCCAGCUAAGGUCCCAAAGUCAUGGUUAAGUGGGAAACGAUGUGGGAAGGCCCAGACAGCCAGGAUGUUGGCUUAGAAGCAGCCAUCAUUUAAAGAAAGCGUAAUAGCUCACUGGUCGAGUCGGCCUGCGCGGAAGAUGUAACGGGGCUAAACCAUGCACCGAAGCUGCGGCAGCGACGCUUAUGCGUUGUUGGGUAGGGGAGCGUUCUGUAAGCCUGUGAAGGUGUACUGUGAGGUAUGCUGGAGGUAUCAGAAGUGCGAAUGCUGACAUAAGUAACGAUAAAGCGGGUGAAAAGCCCGCUCGCCGGAAGACCAAGGGUUCCUGUCCAACGUUAAUCGGGGCAGGGUGAGUCGACCCCUAAGGCGAGGCCGAAAGGCGUAGUCGAUGGGAAACAGGUUAAUAUUCCUGUACUUGGUGUUACUGCGAAGGGGGGACGGAGAAGGCUAUGUUGGCCGGGCGACGGUUGUCCCGGUUUAAGCGUGUAGGCUGGUUUUCCAGGCAAAUCCGGAAAAUCAAGGCUGAGGCGUGAUGACGAGGCACUACGGUGCUGAAGCAACAAAUGCCCUGCUUCCAGGAAAAGCCUCUAAGCAUCAGGUAACAUCAAAUCGUACCCCAAACCGACACAGGUGGUCAGGUAGAGAAUACCAAGGCGCUUGAGAGAACUCGGGUGAAGGAACUAGGCAAAAUGGUGCCGUAACUUCGGGAGAAGGCACGCUGAUAUGUAGGUGAAGUCCCUCGCGGAUGGAGCUGAAAUCAGUCGAAGAUACCAGCUGGCUGCAACUGUUUAUUAAAAACACAGCACUGUGCAAACACGAAAGUGGACGUAUACGGUGUGACGCCUGCCCGGUGCCGGAAGGUUAAUUGAUGGGGUCAGCGCAAGCGAAGCUCUUGAUCGAAGCCCCGGUAAACGGCGGCCGUAACUAUAACGGUCCUAAGGUAGCGAAAUUCCUUGUCGGGUAAGUUCCGACCUGCACGAAUGGCGUAAUGAUGGCCAGGCUGUCUCCACCCGAGACUCAGUGAAAUUGAACUCGCUGUGAAGAUGCAGUGUACCCGCGGCAAGACGGAAAGACCCCGUGAACCUUUACUAUAGCUUGACACUGAACAUUGAGCCUUGAUGUGUAGGAUAGGUGGGAGGCUU